ACUGCUCAGUAACACGUGGAUAACCUGCCCUGCGGUGGGAAAUAACCCCGGGAAACUGGGGAUAAUGUCCCAUAGACUGCGGAUACUGGAAUGUUCUGUAGUUCAAAGAUUUAUCGCCACAGGAUGGGUCUGCGGCCGAUUAGGUAGUUGUUGGGGUAACGGCCCAACAAGCCUUUGAUCGGUACGGGUUGUGGGAGCAAGAGCCCGGAGAUGGAUUCUGAGACACGAAUCCAGGCCCUACGGGGCGCAGCAGGCGCGAAAACUUUACAAUGCGGGAAACCGUGAUAAGGGAACUCCGAGUGUCCGUAAAUGCGGACUGUCCGUAUGUUUAAAAAGCAUGCGAAGAAAGGGCCGGGCAAGACCGGUGCCAGCCGCCGCGGUAAUACCGGCGGCUCGAGUGGUGGCCACUAUUACUGGGCUUAAAGCGUUCGUAGCUGGGUUGUUAAGUCUCUUGGGAAAUCUAUCGGCUUAACCGAUAGGCGUCCAAGGGAUACUGGCAAUCUAGGGACCGGGAGAGGUGAGGGGUACUUCAGGGGUAGGAGUGAAAUCCUGUAAUCCUUGGGGGACCACCUGUGGCGUAGGCGCCUCACCAGAACGGCUCCGACAGUGAGGGACGAAAGCUGGGGGAGCAAACCGGAUUAGAUACCCGGGUAGUCCCAGCCGUAAACGAUGCGCGUUAGGUGUAUCGAUGACCACGAGUCAUCGAGGUGCCGAAGGGAAACCGUGAAACGCGCCGCCUGGGAAGUACGGUCGCAAGGCUGAAACUUAAAGGAAUUGGCGGGGGAGCAC
This 789-nucleotide ribosomal RNA is filed under the name uncultured archaeon. Its description in RNAcentral is "bacterial SSU rRNA". It matches the Rfam family "Archaeal small subunit ribosomal RNA", at positions 85 to 879 of the family's 1478-position model. The record is from RNAcentral.